Molecule: long non-coding RNA, 523 nt
Filed under: Homo sapiens (human)
Lineage: Eukaryota; Metazoa; Chordata; Mammalia; Primates; Hominidae
Description: non-protein coding lnc-CCDC82-10:1
Source: RNAcentral
AGAAGUCCAACAACUGGGACACCAGCUGAGAGACUGACAAAAUGCAAAAAGCAAAGAUGUAUAUAAACUACUCUUAGUAGCUAGAAAAAAAUCAUGAUGAUGUGAAGGAAGUUCUCGUUAUAAUAAAAGCUUGCAAAGCUACAUCAUUGUCCAGAGUGACCGCAGAGGCCUGUUAUUUUCAUGUGCACAAGAUGAAAAAGACAAGAGUCAUACACCCAUAAAACUCACAGUAAAGUUGCAUUCAGUGGCCGUGGCAGAUCAUUACAUCGUUAUGAACUUACAUGCUUUUCAGACAUAGAGGUUCUUUGAUAUUCCUGUGAAUAAGCUAUUGGCAGAAUUUAUAAUCUGCAAUGAACUGAAGUACCUAUUGCAGAAUGAAGAAACUGUAGCAUGCUUUCCUCUAACGUAGUUAUAACCAAGUGGUUUUAUUAAUUGUGGACUAACUAAAUGCAGAAUGUGCUUCAAUUCACAAAGACUAAAAGAAAACCUGAGAAGUAGAAAGGAUGAAUUUGGUUAGUGAUAU